Molecule: non-coding RNA, 72 nt
Organism: Phrynosoma platyrhinos (Desert horned lizard)
Lineage: Eukaryota; Metazoa; Chordata; Lepidosauria; Squamata; Phrynosomatidae
Source: the annotation of a GenBank genome assembly
GCCAGUGUGGUGUAGUGGUUUGAAUGUUGGAUGAUAACUCUGGAGGCCAGGAUUCAAUUCCCAGUUCAGCCA